UACGGAGGGUGCAAGCGUUAUCCGGAUUUACUGGGUUUAAAGGGUGCGUAGGUGGGUUGGUAAGUCAGUGGUGAAAUCUUCGAGCUUAACUCGGAAACUGCCAUUGAUACUAUCAAUCUUGAAUAUCCUGGAGGUAAGCGGAAUAUGUCAUGUAGCGGUGAAAUGCUUAGAUAUGACAUAGAACACCCAUUGCGAAGGCAGCUUACUACGGGAUUAUUGACACUGAGGCACGAAAGCGUGGGGAUCAAACAGG
This 253-nucleotide ribosomal RNA is filed under the name uncultured bacterium. RNAcentral describes it as "partial 16S ribosomal RNA". It matches the Rfam family "Bacterial small subunit ribosomal RNA", at positions 524 to 776 of the family's 1533-position model. The record is from RNAcentral.